AGUGAACGCUGGCGGUAGGCCUAACACAUGCAAGUCGAACGGCAGCACAGUAAGAGCUUGCUCUUACGGGUGGCGAGUGGCGGACGGGUGAGGAAUACAUCGGAAUCUACUUUUUCGUGGGGGAUAACGUAGGGAAACUUACGCUAAUACCGCAUACUACCUACGGGUGAAAGCAUGGGAUCUUCGGACCUUGCGCGAUUGAAUGAGCCGAUGUCGGAUUAGCUAGUUGGCGGGGUAAAGGCCCACCAAGGCGACGAUCCGUAGCUGGUCUGAGAGGAUGAGCAGCCACACUGGAACUGAGAAACGGUCCAGACUACUACGGGAGGCAGCAGUGGGGAAUAUUGGACAAUGGGCGAAAGCCUGAUCCAGCCAUACCGAGUGGGUGAAGAAGGCCUUCGGGUUGUAAAGACCUUUUGUUGGGAAAGAAAAGCAGCAGGUUAAUACCCCGCUGUUCUGACGGUACCCAAAGAAUAAGCACCGGCUAACUUCGUG
This 492-nucleotide ribosomal RNA is filed under the name uncultured bacterium. RNAcentral's name for it is "partial 16S ribosomal RNA". It matches the Rfam family "Bacterial small subunit ribosomal RNA", at positions 29 to 507 of the family's 1533-position model. The record is from RNAcentral.